AUACGAACUGUGCAAACGUUAUUCGGAAUCACUGGGCUUAAAGGGUGCGUAGGCGGACUUGAAGGUCCGAUGUGAAAUCCCACGGCUCAACCGUGGAAUUGCGUCGGAAACCACAAGUCUUGAGGGAGUCAGAGGUAAGCGGAACUGAUGGUGGAGCGGUGAAAUGCGUUGAUAUCAUCAGGAACACCGGUGGCGAAAGCGGCUUACUGGGACUUUUCUGACGCUGAGGCACGAAAGCUAGGGGAGCGAACGGGAUUAGAUACCCCAGUAGUCC
This 274-nucleotide ribosomal RNA is filed under the name uncultured bacterium. RNAcentral describes it as "partial 16S ribosomal RNA". It matches the Rfam family "Bacterial small subunit ribosomal RNA", at positions 523 to 796 of the family's 1533-position model. The record is from RNAcentral.